GGGCGUGUGGUCUAGUGGUAUGAUUCUCGCUUUGGGCGAUUCUUAAGGGAAAACUUGGGAAAUAAAUCACAAACAUGCGAGAGGCCCUGGGUUCAAUUCCCAGCUCGCCCC
This 111-nucleotide transfer RNA is filed under the name Kazachstania africana CBS 2517. It matches the Rfam family "tRNA". Rfam says of the family: Transfer RNA (tRNA) molecules are approximately 80 nucleotides in length. Lineage: Eukaryota; Fungi; Ascomycota; Saccharomycetes; Saccharomycetales; Saccharomycetaceae. The record is from Rfam by way of RNAcentral.